RNAcentral lists this transfer RNA (77 nucleotides) under Actinomycetota bacterium. Its description in RNAcentral is "tRNA-Leu". Lineage: Bacteria; Bacillati; Actinomycetota. The record is from RNAcentral.
CGGAGUGGACCAGCAGGGCGAGACUCAAAAUCCGGUGCCCCGAAAGGGGCGUGUCGGUUCGAGCCCGACCUCCGGUA